Molecule: ribosomal RNA, 484 nt
Filed under: uncultured bacterium
Lineage: Bacteria
Description: partial 16S ribosomal RNA
Rfam family: Bacterial small subunit ribosomal RNA
Source: RNAcentral
AUUGAACGCUGGCGGCAGGCCUAACACAUGCAAGUCGAGCGGAUGAAGGGAGCUUGCUCCUGGAUUCAGCGGCGGACGGGUGAGUAAUGCCUAGGAAUCUGCCUGGUAGUGGGGGAUAACGUCCGGAAACGGGCGCUAAUACCGCAUACGUCCUGAGGGAGAAAGUGGGGGAUCUUCGGACCUCACGCUAUCAGAUGAGCCUAGGUCGGAUUAGCUAGUUGGUGGGGUAAAGGCCUACCAAGGCGACGAUCCGUAACUGGUCUGAGUGGAUGAUCAGUCACACUGGAACUGGGACACGGUCCAGACUCCUACGGGAGGCAGCAGUGGGGAAUAUUGGACAGUGGGCGAAAGCCUGAUCCAGCCAUGCCGCGUGUGUGAAGAAGGUCUUCGGAUUGUAAAGCACUUUAAGUUGGGAGGAAGGGCAGUAAGUUAAUACCUUGCUGUUUUGACGUUACCAACAGAAUAAGCGCCGGCUAACUUCGUG